UACGUAGGGUGCAAGCGUUAAUCGGAAUUACUGGGCGUAAAGCGUGCGCAGGCGGUUAUGUAAGACAGAUUGGAAAUGCCCGGGCUUAACCUGGGAACUGCAUUUGUGACUGCAUGGCUAGAGUUUGGCAGAGGGGGGUAGAAUUCCACGUGUAGCAGUGAAAUGCGUAGAUAUGUGGAGGAACACCGAUGGCGAAGGCAGCCCCCUGGGUCAAGACUGACGCUCAUGCACGAAAGCGUGGGGAGCAAACAGG
RNAcentral lists this ribosomal RNA (253 nucleotides) under uncultured bacterium. Its description in RNAcentral is "partial 16S ribosomal RNA". It matches the Rfam family "Bacterial small subunit ribosomal RNA", at positions 524 to 776 of the family's 1533-position model. The record is from RNAcentral.